Long non-coding RNA from Labrus bergylta (ballan wrasse), 147 nucleotides. RefSeq lists it as uncharacterized. Lineage: Eukaryota; Metazoa; Chordata; Actinopteri; Labriformes; Labridae. The record is from RefSeq and is a predicted model, not a curated record.
GUGCUCUACUCUUUGUUAUCAGGGCUCAGAGGACUCAACACAACCUGCUUCAGAGUCAGGGGUCAGGUAACGCCAGCACAGUUGCCAUGAGCCAACAUCUAACAAGUGGAGAAGGAAACGAGGAACCCAACAAAACAGAUGAGACAU